CACACGACAGGUUGGGAAUUCAGGGAGGGUCCAAGUCCCUGACUGCUGGUGAGAAGGCAUUUCGUGAUUGAAGUUUUCUUGAAUUGAAAGGAUCAUUUUGAAGAGCCAGGAACGAGUAGUAUGCAUACUAAUUCCCUAUAAAAUGUGCGUCCUAAUUGACCAAUGCUCUACCCUACCCACAUAUUUGUAAGAAAGAAACUGUGAUAUAAACUCAUCAUGGAGAAGUACGAAGGGGGUUGGGGCGAGGUUGUCAGAUGUCCACCAGCAGGUGGACAGUGCACUGGACCGUGUGCUUGCCCAGUGACCCCCAGCUGAACUGGGUGUGCCCUGAAAUGCUGUGUGUGGGAGCAUUGUGAGAGUAUACAGCAUCCUCUCCUUUUGUGGUCUGGGCUGUUGCCAUUUGUUGUUCAGAGGGCUCGGUGAUAGAUGACUGCACCUGAGCUUGACCUGGAAUGCCACCUGCCAGGACCUGCCCUGUCUCCUGGCAGGCCAGGAUCGUGUUGACGGUGGGAAGAUCCCAGAGCAAUUUGUGGGAUUCUUGGUCACCUUGAAAAAAGUGUUAGGAGCAUAGAACUUUGGGUCAGAGACCUCCUCAAUGGCCCUGCGUUGCCACCCUCCAGCCACAGGAUCUCACACACUUUCUUGUCUUCCCUCAGCCUCAGGCUUCAGAGUCUUUGAAAAAGUGUGGCCAGUGAACCAGCCGGUCUUAAAGAGCCUUCCAAGUCUGCAAGGCCCUGGAUCAGGUCCCACUGCCUGGUUUGCUGAAGGGUUAUUCCAUUAGUGAUUCGGGAACCUGGUAGGGAGAGGGGGAGGGCUUAAAAUAAUUUCUCAGGGGCUUCUUUGCACACUUCUCUUCAUCUUCUGAUAAGCAUAGCUGUUGUUUUCAUGGCUUGCCAGUGGGUUCUGUGGGGCUAUUACUCGAAACAGAAUAGGCUCUGUACCCGACCACAAGAAAACAGCAAAGGGAGCCCCAGAGGCCAGCCCGAGCAUUUGCUGGGCUCAAAUUGCCAACAUACUUUUUGCUUUGAGAACACAGCUUUAAGGCACAUGGACUUAAAACCAAACACAGGCACAAGGCACUCUUAUUCCACAGGAGGAAAACAUAGUGUGGUGGCCAAGAAGUUUCUGGGCGGUGGCAAAGUCUCGUUUUUGGAGCGGCACACCACGACCCUAAAAAUCAACCCCUAAGUCUGUAGUGACAGCAGCAAGACCUAGACAACCCUGCGCAGUCCCAGAUCCCCCAAGCCCGGUGGGGCAAUUAACAAAAGAUUCCUGAAACCAGAUGGAGUCUCCACAAUGUUCGAGAACAUUUGGGUUGCUGCAAGUGUUGUCUGGUACUGUGGAAUUGGUGUCUGUGUGUUGUAUCUGCAUCUUUUCCCCCAGAGCAAGCUAAGCUGUGCGUUCUCUGGGGAAGGAAAUGUGAUUUCAUCCCAUUUCCCAGAGAAGGUUUGCCUGAGAUGCUUCCAUCCUGAGUGGAAAAGACAAGGAUGCAUUGUUCGGUGGACAAUGCCAGAAGUAAGGAAUAUGCAAAACGGACCUGAUCUCUCCAUUCCAAGUCCGUAGGAGACCAUUGUUUCCAUAAAGCUCCUAUUGAGCUAAUGACUUGACUAUAAAGUUCUUUGUCCAAAUGAAUCCCAAAAUGUGAGUACCUCUUUGUGGAGGACUAGAUACUGCUUUUUUUUAUAGAUGUCAAACCCUGUUAACUGUCAGUUCUCAUUAUCCAAAGAAUCUGUAUUUGUCAAUUUGCCUACUUGCAAACGUUUAUUUGUACCCCCUCCCCCAAAUCAAUACAGUAUUUUCACAGUCAUUCACAGAUGGGGAGGCAAAAAUUUGAGCCUCCUGUCGAGUCCUUUUCCAGAUGAGGUUGUACAAAGUGACCUUCUGCCUUGUUUCAGCUCUCCUACUGUGAACAAGUGUCUUUGUUGUGAUCUAUUCAGUUUGCAUCAGUGUUGUUUGCAUCAGUGUGCUUUUUGUUGGUGAUCUUACUGUUUAAAAUGGCCCCAAGCAUAGUAGUGCUGAAGUGCCGUCCGGUGUUCCUAAGCAGAGAAGGCUGUGCUGUGCCUUACAGAGAAAAUACAUGUGUUAGAUUGGCUUCCCCGAGGCAUGAGUUCCUGGGUUGUUGGCCUCGUUCAAUGUUAAUGAAUCAGUAUAAAUUAAAUAAGGUGUCUUUAAAAAGAAACAUAUAUCACCAAGACUGUAUAUUGACAGGUUGACAUAAACACGGUCAGAGGCUCACAGGAACCUCUCCUAGGAGCAUUGGGUUAGUAUUCUCCAAACCAGUAUUUGCAGCCCCAACUUUAUAGGACAUACUCUCUCAAAUAACAAGAAUCAGCUCUUCCUUGACUUUGGUGUGUGUAAUUUGUUUUUCUGCUGAGGACUUCUUUGACAGAUUUCUAUAAUUCUCUGAUUUUUGUCUGCGUUAGGGUGAUUUUUAUUCCCACCGUUGUUCUUAAGAUUGCACGUCUGGUUGUCUUCUGCCGUCCUGCCUCCUCUCAUCCACACUUACUUUCGUUAUCUAGAGUACCGUCCACUAGAGAGCUAGCUCUCUGUCUACACAAGCCAGGGCCCUUCUCUUAAGACGUACCUUGGCAGAAGCGUUUGGUGACGUGGCCAGAAAGAGCCAGACCGGAAGAGAAGAGCCUGGACACGGUGCUCCAUGUAAAUCCUAGCCAUAGAAGCAGGCGGAUUCUGUGGGGUUUAAUUAAGGCCCUGGAAAGGGGUAAUUAGAUAAGUAGUGUAGCAACCCCCCACCCCCAUCCCCUGCAAGGCUCCCAGGGUAUUGCGACGCUUUUCGUAGCAUCCUCCAAGUCAAAUACAUUUUAAUGACCUUUAAAACAAGAGCAAAACUUUGGUCACAAGGCAAAAUCACAAGGAAUUUUAAAGGCGUUGAUUUUAUAGUUAAUAGUUAUAAACAAUGCUUUGGAAGCUUAUUCCUCUUCCCUAUACUUCUUGCCAGAUCUAAAUACGGCAUCUAAAUAUGGCAUAAAAUAUUUAAUGUGAUUCAGUCAAAUAUUGAGGAAAUUUCUGUUUGGUCUUUACUCUCAUCCCUCCUCAUCAUAAUGAAAUGGUUGGGUUAAAUCUCUAUUCUGGUCAAAUGUGAUGGCAUUACAAAGACUGCCCUCACCUACGGCACUGUUCGUACUCUGCUUUCUUUCUUCAAACUCGUAUGUGUAUUGAUAAACUAGAAACAUUCUUCUUUAAAAAAAAAUUCAAACAUACAUAAAAGUACACAGAAGAUACCAUAACAAACUUGAGGCACUUACCACUUAGAUUAGACUGAUACUGUAUUUUUGCUGUAUUUCAGGUCUUUUAAAGACAUAAAAUGUUAGACCUAGUUGAAGUCCUUUUUUUUAUCUCACCUGUUCUUCCAGGAGGUUACCAUCACGUCAAAGUCAGUGCGCAUUAUUUAUCUUAUUUAUAUGUAUGUCCCACACCAUAUACAUUGGGUUACAAUUUAUAAUACUGCUUUGUGGAUUGUUUUUUUUUUUAAGUGUCCUUCACCCCCAGCGCAGAGGCCAACAUGGGACUUGAACUCAUGAUCCUAAGACUCCGGCACUUAACCAACUGAGCCACCCAGGCACCCCACUGCUUUGUGGAUUUUGAAUGAGCUAAAUGGAUUCGUGGUAUGGAGGCUUCAGCAAUGUGCUUUUUUUUUUUUUUCAUUCAACACUAUCAUUUUGAGAUCUGUUUUGUAGAUCUAGUUCGUUCAUUGAUCUCCACUGUCCUAAAGGGUUCUGUGUGUGACUGCAUCACACUUUGGCCACGUCUUAAUGGGCACGUCCAAGUUUACAGUGUUUCAAGCAAUGCUGCCAUUCACUUCCUGGGGAUGACUCCUGGAGCAUGUGUGUAUUUCACUAGACACCGAAUUGCUGGCUCAUCAGGCAUUUUCAUUUUCGCUUUUACUAGUUAUUGACAAAUUUCUCUCAAAGUCAUCAUGCCAACUUACACACCCAAUGGCAAGUUUUGAGAGUUCCUGUUUUCAGACACCUCCCAAUACAUGGGCUUAUGUUAAAAAGAAAAAAAAAAAAAA
Herpailurus yagouaroundi (jaguarundi) is the source of this 4030-nucleotide long non-coding RNA. RefSeq lists it as uncharacterized. The transcript has 2 exons. NCBI's taxonomy places the organism in Eukaryota, Metazoa, Chordata, Mammalia, Carnivora, Felidae. The record is from RefSeq and is a predicted model, not a curated record.